GUAAUGUGUGCUUAUGCCACUGACAGGGUCUUCUUUGAAGUCAACUCUGAGUAUGUAAAAACUCCACAUUUCCGAUAAAAUCAGGAUUGUCUUUUUAGCUUGGUGAUACAAGUACUUUUGUACAGGAAAAGUGAAGCUGAUAGCAGAGGGGUUUAAGGAGUCCAGAUAAAAAGUGGGAACUACUGAGAGGGGUCUGGCUUCCUCCUCUUCAUUCCCUCCCAUCAAGUAUUUAUACACAUUGAUGAUCGCUCCCUGAGCCUUCUCUCUUCUGGACUGAAGAGUUCCAGCUGUCUCAACUUCUCCUUUUAUGAAAGACACUCCAGUCCUUUAAUCACCUGCACAGGACUCACUCCAAUAAUGAAAGCAACAUAAAGGGAGGAAGUGAUAAAAAGAGUUUUUUGGCAGAAAAUCCUCUAGAACAGGAAGAAGAUAAUGUUUUGUGAAAUGUACCUUAAGCAAUGAGAAGGACAGUGUGUAACUCAUCAGCCAGGCUUCAACCAGCAAGCAAUCACUACAGCUAUUGUGUCCAAUUAUCCAUCAUAAAAAUCACCAUUUUCUUCAGAGAAGGAGGAGGAUGUAUUUUUUGUCAACUGCUGAUGUUUAGUGAUUAAGCCAAAAGUAGUACCAAAUGCACACAAUUGUAUUUGUCAGAGUAUAAAGUAAAGGUAAAAAAACCUUUAUGUUUUCUGACUGUGCCAGUAUAUUCAUUCUCGGUUACCUGCUUCAUUCAUGAGGAGGGAAGCAGUCCCUCAUACACAAAAUAGAACAUUCUGGUAGUGCGAGCUGUGUAUAAAUAAUUAACACAAUGAAUUAUUUUGAGACGUGCUUACUCUUGCUCUAUUUUAAAGGUUAAACGGCACCCUAGCACUUACAAGCUUAAAUCCACAAAAGACUAUUGGAUCCUCU
Chiroxiphia lanceolata (lance-tailed manakin) is the source of this 906-nucleotide long non-coding RNA. RefSeq lists it as uncharacterized. The record is from RefSeq and is a predicted model, not a curated record. NCBI's taxonomy places the organism in Eukaryota, Metazoa, Chordata, Aves, Passeriformes, Pipridae. The transcript has 4 exons.